UACGUAGGGUGCAAGCGUUAUCCGGAAUUAUUGGGCGUAAGGCGCGUGUAGGCGGCUUUGCAAGUCGGGUGUGAAAGCCCUCAGCUUAACUGAGGAAGUGCGCCCGAAACUGCUUGGCUUGAGUACCGGGGAGGAUGGCGGAAUUCCCCAAGUAGAGGUGAAAUUCGUAGAUAUGGGGAGGAACACCGGUGGCGAAGGCGGCCAUCUGGACGGAUACUGACGCUGAGACGCGAAAGCGUGGGUAGCAAACAGG
RNAcentral lists this ribosomal RNA (253 nucleotides) under uncultured bacterium. Its description in RNAcentral is "partial 16S ribosomal RNA". It matches the Rfam family "Bacterial small subunit ribosomal RNA", at positions 524 to 776 of the family's 1533-position model. The record is from RNAcentral.